GGCCUCAGAUAAACAAAUGGUUAGAGUGUUGGACUACAACUCUAGAGACUAGGGUUCAAUUCCCAGCUUGGCCA
Molecule: non-coding RNA, 74 nt
Organism: Phrynosoma platyrhinos (Desert horned lizard)
Lineage: Eukaryota; Metazoa; Chordata; Lepidosauria; Squamata; Phrynosomatidae
Source: the annotation of a GenBank genome assembly